Molecule: transfer RNA, 73 nt
Filed under: Eirmotus octozona
Lineage: Eukaryota; Metazoa; Chordata; Actinopteri; Cypriniformes; Cyprinidae
Description: tRNA-Thr
Rfam family: tRNA
About the family: Transfer RNA (tRNA) molecules are approximately 80 nucleotides in length. Their secondary structure includes four short double-helical elements and three loops (D, anti-codon, and T loops). Further hydrogen bonds mediate the characteristic L-shaped molecular structure. tRNAs have two regions of fundamental functional importance: the anti-codon, which is responsible for specific mRNA codon recognition, and the 3' end, to which the tRNAs corresponding amino acid is attached (by aminoacyl-tRNA synthetases). tRNAs cope with the degeneracy of the genetic code in two manners: having more than one tRNA (with a specific anti-codon) for a particular amino acid; and 'wobble' base-pairing, i.e. permitting non-standard base-pairing at the 3rd anti-codon position.
Source: RNAcentral
GCCCUAGUAGCUUAACUCAAAAGCAUCGUCCUUGUAAGACGAAAGACUAGAGGUUAAAACCCUCUCUAGCGCC